This 372-nucleotide unclassified non-coding RNA is filed under the name fungal sp. RNAcentral describes it as "partial internal transcribed spacer region". The stretch from base 1 to 46 matches the Rfam family "Eukaryotic small subunit ribosomal RNA", at positions 1786 to 1831 of the family's 1831-position model. Lineage: Eukaryota; Fungi. The record is from RNAcentral.
AAGUCGUAACAAGGUAACCGUAGGUGAACCUGCGGUUGGAUCAUUACCAAAUAUCCAACGGGGGCUUCUCGAAGCCCCCAACCCCACCUCUUGUGCAACGUAACGUAUUUGGCGGGCCUACACUCCAUGGUGCACACCCUCCAUCGGUCUGCCCUUGCUCGCCCACUGUUUCACGACAGGCACAGGGUGUGACAGGGCGGCUCGAUGGGUCACCAAGGCAGUGUAGCUUGCGAUGCAUCAUGCAUCGACCGCCAACAUAAACACCCCCGUAUUCCUACAACCCAACAUCCUGACUUUUAUAGGCCUCUUGUGCGUUUGCACGAGGGGUAAAUAAUUGAAAAACAACUUUUGACAACGGAUCUCUUGGCUCUC